GCGCCUAUAGCUCAGGUUGGAUAGAGCAUCGGCCUUCUAAGCCGAGGGUUGCAGGUUCGAGUCCUGCUAGGCGCGCGA
Molecule: transfer RNA, 78 nt
Filed under: Olavius algarvensis spirochete endosymbiont
Lineage: Bacteria; Pseudomonadati; Spirochaetota; Spirochaetia; Spirochaetales
Description: tRNA-Arg-TCT
Rfam family: tRNA
About the family: Transfer RNA (tRNA) molecules are approximately 80 nucleotides in length.
Source: RNAcentral